CCUACGGGGGGCAGCAGUGAGGAAUAUUGGUCAAUGGGCUUACGCCUGAACCAGCCAAGUCGCGUGAGGGAAGACUGCCCUAUGGGUUGUAAACCUCUUUUGUCAGGGAGCAACGCCGGCUACGUGUAGCCGGACUGAGAGUACCUGAAGAAAAAGCAUCGGCUAACUCCGUGCCAGCAGCCGCGGUAAUACGUAGGGGGCAAGCGUUAUCCGGAUUUACUGGGUGUAAAGGGAGCGUAGACGGCAGCGCAAGGCUGAAGGGAAAUGCCGGGGCUUAACCCCGGAACUGCUUUGGAAACUGUGCAGCUAGAGUGCAGGAGAGGUAAGUGGAAUUCCUAGUGUAGCGGUGAAAUGCGUAGAUAUUAGGAGGAACACCAGUGGCGAAGGCGGCUUACUGGACUGUAACUGACGUUGAGGCUCGAAAGCGUGGGGAGCGAACAGGAUUAGAUACCCGAGUAGUC
This 461-nucleotide ribosomal RNA is filed under the name uncultured bacterium. Its description in RNAcentral is "partial 16S ribosomal RNA". It matches the Rfam family "Bacterial small subunit ribosomal RNA", at positions 338 to 795 of the family's 1533-position model. The record is from RNAcentral.